UACUCUGGAACACCACCUGAUUGUGUAAAAAAGUUUGUCCAUCAUUUUAACUGAAAGUUAUUUGGGAUGAAGUGAUAUUGUUUGUGUUUUAUAAUUUUUUUUUGGUCUUGGUCUUUGGUUUCUAAAUUUGGAAAAUGUUUUUUUUUUUUUUUUUGUGAAGCACUUUGAGCUACUUUUGCUCGAAAAUCAAACAGUUUGACUUGAUUUACCUUGUUUGGUUUCUCAUUGUGUUUAUUUUUAUUUUUUUACUUUUCAUUUUCAUUUCUAUAAAUUACUUUUGUUUUCUGAAAUGUUGCUAAUUUUUGGAAUUGUGCUUUUAUUAUUUGAAAGUUGUCUUUAUUUCUAAAAUGUUAUGUUUUUUCUUUUAAUUUGCUUUGCUUUUUCAGUUGUUGUGAUAUUUAAUAUGUUGAUACAGUAUAUUUAAUUUGUCAAUUUGAUUUUUACUUCAGGGGCCACAAGAGACAUUUGCUUUGGAAUGGAGAAUCUGACUGAACAGUUGCUUGCUCCUGUUAUGUAUGAAUGGCUCAAGGAAUUUAUGAAUGGACAUGAAUCCAAAACUGUGGGAGAAGGUUCAGCAGGCGGGAGCCGGACAGCACAGAAACUAAAUGGCAGCUACAGAAAUAGAUCGGUUGUGAAGAGGAUUUCCUUGGAACCUGCAAUGACCUCCUUAUGCUGACAGAAAUGUUCCCUUUCAGUCAAUUCACUCGGGACAACACAUGUACUAUGGGAUAUCAGACCAAUCACUGCUUAUUGACGACAUCUGACACUAACACAGCGGCGACCAUUUGGCAAAAAAAUGGCAUCUUACUUGACUUAUUUUGGUGGAGCUGGAUAGAAACCCUUUUCUAUGGGUGACAUCACACUUGCUUUGUCCAGUUCUCACAUACAGUCAAUAGCUGCAUCCGAUUUCCUUACAACUGCAGUGGAACAUAUUCUAUGAAGUUACAAUAAUGCAGCGGUUCAAAUCCAAGGCUAAUAGAAGGCUACUGUGUCCUUGGACAAGACACUUUACCCUACAGCUACAUUAACUGUAAAUAUUUAUCUUUAAGCACUCCAUCGACUAAAAGCUGUUUCUUAAUUAAAAAAAAAAAAAAAACAGAAAUUUGGAUCCUGUUGCCUGAGAGUAUUUCCCUUUUUGCCCUGCUAAAAAGUAAGGUCUCUGGACUUAAGGGAGCUGAUUUAUUUUUUUAUGUUUUUAUCCCAGCUUCUUCACACUUCACAUGGAAAUAGCUCAAGUGAGACAUAAACCACAAAAAAAUCUUAAAAAACAAAAAUGAGAGUAAAUGCUCCACUUAAUCUAGACACAAUCUAAUGAAAGUUGCAAAAAAAAA
Molecule: long non-coding RNA, 1331 nt
Organism: Oryzias melastigma (Indian medaka)
Lineage: Eukaryota; Metazoa; Chordata; Actinopteri; Beloniformes; Adrianichthyidae
Exons: 2
Source: RefSeq, a predicted model, not a curated record